This 647-nucleotide small RNA is filed under the name Pongo abelii (Sumatran orangutan). Its description in RNAcentral is "retained intron". The record is from RNAcentral. Lineage: Eukaryota; Metazoa; Chordata; Mammalia; Primates; Hominidae.
ACAGACCGUUAGGUUCCAUGGUACCCUGGAAUCCAUAGCUGCUGAAUCUGAAGGGCCUUCAGAAGACUGGCUUCUCCAUGGUGGUUCAUGGACUAAGGCAAAGAUGAGCAGAGCCGUGGCCCUCUUCUUUGUUCUCUGCUGGAUCCAAGGGUCUCCCUCUGUCACCCAGGGCUGGAGUGCAGUGGCAUAAUCACAGCUAAUUGCAGCCUCAACAUUCCAGGCCCAAGGAUCCUCCCUUUAGCCUCCCAGAGUCGGAGUCUCCCUAUGUUUCCCAGGCUGGUCUCGAACUCCUGACCUCAAGUGAUCCUCCCACCUCAGCCUCCCAGAGCGCUGGGAUUGAAGACGUGAGCCACCGCACCUGGCCUGAAUUUUCCUCAGAUUCAAAAAAUCCUGAUGAAGGUUUGGCUAAAAUCUUUGGUGAGUUACCCCCAUCCUUGUGGAACCUCAGGCUGGAUUUGAAGAGUUGCAUGCGUGGUCCUCAUUGUCUCCCAGGUAACCUGUUCCCAAUGCUGUGAAGGGAAGGCAGGUGCUCUUCCUUGAGGCUAGAAUCUGUCUACGUGUCACAGUCUCAGGAAAUUAAGCAAAACAGAUGAUAAACACCUCAAAAGGACCCUACUGAGCAUGAGUGGAGCAGAGCAGGGCCAUGU